GACGAACGCUGGCGGCGUGCUUAACACAUGCAAGUCGAACGGAAAGGCCCUGCUUUUGUGGGGUGCUCGAGUGGCGAACGGGUGAGUAACACGUGAGUAACCUGCCCUUGACUUUGGGAUAACUUCAGGAAACUGGGGCUAAUACCGGAUAGGAGCUCCUGCUGCAUGGUGGGGGUUGGAAAGUUUCGGCGGUUGGGGAUGGACUCGCGGCUUAUCAGCUUGUUGGUGGGGUAGUGGCUUACCAAGGCUUUGACGGGUAGCCGGCCUGAGAGGGUGACCGGCCACAGUGGGACAAAGGUACGAACAAGACUCCUCCGGGGGGCGGCGGUGGGAAUUAUUGCACAGUGGGAGAAAGCCGGAUGCAGCAACGCCGCGAGGGGAAUGACGGCGUUCGGGUUGAAACCCACUUUCACCUUUGACGAAGUGUGGGUAACGAUAAUGGGUAAGGAAGCACCGGUGAACGAG
This 465-nucleotide ribosomal RNA is filed under the name uncultured bacterium. RNAcentral describes it as "partial 16S ribosomal RNA". It matches the Rfam family "Bacterial small subunit ribosomal RNA", at positions 28 to 504 of the family's 1533-position model. The record is from RNAcentral.